AUGAGUUAAGUAUAAACCCCUUUACAAGUAUCAAUUGGAGGGCAAGUCUGGUGCCAGCAGCCGCGGUAAUUCCAGCUCCAAUAGCGUAUAUUAAAGUUGUUGCAGUUAAAAAGCUCGUAGUUGGAUUUCUGUUAAUAAUUUAUAUAUAAUAUUUUACGAUAUUUGUAUAAUAUUAACAUAAUUCAUAUUACUAUAUUAUUAGUAUAUGAAAUUUUACUUUGAGAAAAUUAGAGUGCUUAAAGCAGGCAUUAGCCUUGAAUACUCCAGCAUGGAAUAAUAUAAAAGAUUUUUAUCUUUUUUAUUGGUUCUAAGAUAAAAAUAAUGAUUAAUAGGGACAGUUGGGGGCAUUUGUAUUUAACAGUCAGAGGUGAAAUUCUUAGAUUUGUUAAAGACAAACUAGUGCGAAAGCAUUUGCCAAGGAUGUUUUCAUUAAUCAAGAACGAAAGUUAGGGGAUCGAAGACGAUCAGAUACCGUCGUAGU
This 481-nucleotide ribosomal RNA is filed under the name Cryptosporidium sp. Its description in RNAcentral is "SSU rRNA". It matches the Rfam family "Eukaryotic small subunit ribosomal RNA", at positions 514 to 1024 of the family's 1831-position model. The record is from RNAcentral. Lineage: Eukaryota; Apicomplexa; Conoidasida; Eucoccidiorida; Cryptosporidiidae.